This 1057-nucleotide long non-coding RNA is filed under the name Nicotiana tabacum (common tobacco). Its description in RNAcentral is "long non-coding RNA (NTAB_LNC008832)". The record is from RNAcentral. Lineage: Eukaryota; Viridiplantae; Streptophyta; Magnoliopsida; Solanales; Solanaceae.
AAAGCCAUCAGACAUAUAGGGCAUGUUUGGAUGGGCUUAAAAGCUGGUUUUUUUAAACUUUUAGUAGUGUCUGUCAAACAAAAAAAUAGCUUAAAAAAAGUAAAAAUCUACUUUAAAAAAAGUCAAAAUCAACAAAUUGAGUAAACCCAACUUUUUCGAAUUUGACUUAAAAGUCACCUUACUUUGACCAAAUAUAUUACAUUCUUAUCCCUUAUAACUUUUCUUAAUUCCGAAAUUACCCCUCAAUAAAAAAAACCUAAAACACACGAUAUCUUUCUUUUCUCCCUUUUUGUUGGAGAGACUGCGUUCUUCUUCCUCUUCUUGUUGUAGACUCUCCCCAACUUCAGCUCCAAUUUGAAAGCCUCUUCGGUCCAGUAAGUUUAAUCUUCCUGUUGAAUUUCAAUUCCUGGUGUGUUUUCAAAGUUUUGGAUGACUAAUUAUUUGGCUUUUUCUUGGAUUAAUUUCAACUUUGUCACCCAAAAAAUUUUCAAUCAAUGAAAUUUUGGGUACAAUGAAUAUAGUUUUCGGUCACCCAAAAACUUUUGUUGAUAAAAAAUAGUAUUAUAUUGGUUGUUUUCUUUUCUUUCUCAUAUAAAUGUAGUAUAAAAAUCGACUCUGCGUCGUAUUAGCCGUCUUAUUGCUAGUAAAGUGCUGAGUAUCUCAAAACAACACAAUUUUUUCAAAAGUUGUUUCUUGACUUUUAUUUGCUUUUUUAUUUUCAUGAGUUGCAUAUGUGUGGUCAUUGAUUGUACUGUUUCGGCCUUGUGUUUCUGUAAAGUAGCAACCAGAUUUUGUGGAAUCAUAUAAUUAAAAAGGAGACAAAGAUGAAGAGAUACAACUGUUAUAUAGCCACGUUAUAUCUAUUUAGUCGAUGUUAGGUAUAUAUAUAUAUAAGCUAAAUAUUAUCGGAAGAAAAUAAAGAAUUAGCUUACAAGCUAAGCAUUUAGUGAGCAAAAGAAAUAUGUUCAGCCAUUAGAAAAGGUAUUUAAAACAAAUCAGGGAAACCAACCAGCAUGCUCUGACUCUUUUGUAGCAUUGGAGAUGCACCUACCUGUAG